UACGAAGGGGGCUAGCGUUGCUCGGAAUCACUGGGCGUAAAGCGCACGUAGGCGGAUCUUUAAGUCAGGGGUGAAAUCCCGAGGCUCAACCUCGGAACUGCCCUUGAUACUGGGGAUCUCGAGUCCGGAAGAGGUUGGUGGAACUCCGAGUGUAGAGGUGAAAUUCGUAGAUAUUCGGAAGAACACCAGUGGCGAAGGCGGCCAACUGGUCCGGCAUUGACGCUGAGGCGCGAAAGCUAGGGGAGCAAACGGG
Molecule: ribosomal RNA, 253 nt
Filed under: uncultured bacterium
Lineage: Bacteria
Description: partial 16S ribosomal RNA
Rfam family: Bacterial small subunit ribosomal RNA
Source: RNAcentral